RNAcentral lists this long non-coding RNA (1801 nucleotides) under Pogona vitticeps (central bearded dragon). Its description in RNAcentral is "lncRNA (ENSPVIG00000023859.1)". The record is from RNAcentral. Lineage: Eukaryota; Metazoa; Chordata; Lepidosauria; Squamata; Agamidae.
AUGUGGUGGGAGAAAAAAAAACCUCUGGGAAUUUGCAAGUGCCAAGAAGGACAGCUGAAGGACAGGACUCUAAAAUAUUUGCCUUUCUUGGGUAGCAUGACCUUUCUACAGCUAUGGCUUUCUUUUAUUCAGGCUUCAAUCGGGGUGGCUACAACCAGAACCGCUGGGGAGGUGGAAACCGUGACAGCAACAACAACAACCGGGGGAACUACAACCGGAACAACCAACCCCCGAGCAACUACAGCCCAGCACGCAACCAAAACACCUACAAGAGCAGCAGCAAUCUGGGACCCUCCCCUCCAGCCCCUGCUGCUAAUCCUCCUCCCAGUACUUAUCCUCCAGCGCCACAGCAGCAAAGCUACAGCCAGCCCUACAACCCUCCAUCCAGCUACAGCCAAGGUGGUUACGGAGCUCCGAGCUACAACUAUGGGAACUAUGGUGGCUACAGCCAGUCCUACACCCAGCCCCCACCCCCCCCGCCGGCCCCAGCUCCCGCCCCAGCUCCUGCUCCGGCCCCAGCCCCACCCAGCUACAACCAGUACCAACAGUACGCCCAGCAGUGGAGCCAAUACUAUCAAAACCAGAGUCAGUGGCCUCCAUACUAUGGCAGCUACGACUACGGGAGCUACGCGGGCACCUCGCAGGGUGGCUCCGGCACUCAGUGAUGACGGCGUGUCAUUCUUGGAAAGGAGCAAGUCGCUCUGCCGUCUUCGGCAAGUUUUUAACUUGAUAGCGGGCAUUUAUGAGUCUCCAGGGAUCUGGGAAGGACAUUGCCUCUCUGCCCUUCCCUCCUUGCCGUAGUUCCGGAGGGUGGCUGCAUUUUUACCUGUACAGCUAGAGGCAUGUUUUCCUUCUCUCUCUCUGUACCAUCCCCUCUUGAGGAAAUUACAUGAUUUCUUGUCUCUCCUUGUUGAAAAUAGUUUUAUUCCUUUUUAAAAAUUACUCUUGAUUCUGAAGAAGCUCGAGUCUUCAGCCUCACAUCCUUGUAUUUUUUUAGGCCACGAUCCAUCCUCGUAUCAAACGUUCCACAGUAGUUGGGGUGAUCCCUUUUGCAGCCUUCUUAGGACUUGCCACCACCCUCCCACCCCACCUCCCAUGACUCCCAUAAAUUCCAGUCAUUUUGGAAACUCUUCCUGCAGUUUGUUGUCACCUGUCUUUGAGGUGUUUUUAUCUGUCUUUUCUGCAAAUAACUAUUAAAACUGGAGGGCAAAGAGAUGGCUUAUCUUAUGGUAAUUACAGUUUUGGGUUUGUUUGUUUUUUUAGAUUUUUCUGUAACUUUUUACUGUGGGUCAGCAGCUGUUAAUAUUUUCAUCAAGGUAACAAUUCUUUUUUGCUCAAUAUAGGAGAGGGGGAAAAACAAAAGAGGGGGGAAAUCAUCUUAAAUGUGUAACUUUUUAUACAAUGUCUAAGUUUCUGUAACUUUGCACAUGCUUUGUGUUGAGUUGAAUUGUAACAGCUUUUUGUAUUUGGAGAGGAAAAAAGAGUGAAUAUUGAACUUUAAAAUAUUUGUCUUGCGUGUUUUUCCUUUCCUUUUCAACCUUCAUACUGUAUUCUGACUGCAACAUACACAGACACAAUGUUACUAGAUCUUCACUGAGAUUCCUGCCUCUUAGAACUUCUGUUUACUCACCCUUUUCUCCCAUUUGCUGUAGCAGACAGUAAUGGAGAAGGUUCAACAGCUGUCUGCUCAGGAUGGUGCUAAGCUGUUACAGAAAUACAUGAACACCUCUCCAUUCACAUACAAAAUGUCUUUGUGAAAAGACCUUGAGAUCCAAGACUCUCAUUGGUCCCUAAUUGCCCA